RNAcentral lists this ribosomal RNA (253 nucleotides) under uncultured bacterium. RNAcentral describes it as "partial 16S ribosomal RNA". It matches the Rfam family "Bacterial small subunit ribosomal RNA", at positions 524 to 776 of the family's 1533-position model. The record is from RNAcentral.
UACGUAGGGCGCGAGCGUUGUCCGGAUUUAUUGGGCGUAAAGAGCUCGUAGGCGGUCUGUCGCGUCGGCUGUGAAAACCCGGAGCUCAACUCCGGGCCUGCAGUCGAUACGGGCAGACUGGAGUUCGGCAGGGGAGACUGGAAUUCCCGGUGUAGAGGUGAAAUGCGUAGAUAUCUGGAGGAACACCGGUGGCGAAGGCGGCAUCCUGGACCGGCAUUGACGCUGAGGCGCGAAAGCCAGGGGAGCAAACGGG